Molecule: ribosomal RNA, 975 nt
Filed under: Staphylococcus aureus
Lineage: Bacteria; Bacillati; Bacillota; Bacilli; Caryophanales; Staphylococcaceae
Description: bacterial SSU rRNA
Rfam family: Bacterial small subunit ribosomal RNA
Source: RNAcentral
UCCUGGCUCAGGAUGAACGCUGGCGGCGUGCCUAAUACAUGCAAGUCGAGCGAACGGACGAGAAGCUUGCUUCUCUGAUGUUAGCGGCGGACGGGUGAGUAACACGUGGAUAACCUACCUAUAAGACUGGGAUAACUUCGGGAAACCGGAGCUAAUACCGGAUAAUAUUUUGAACCGCAUGGUUCAAAAGUGAAAGACGGUCUUGCUGUCACUUAUAGAUGGAUCCGCGCUGCAUUAGCUAGUUGGUAAGGUAACGGCUUACCAAGGCAACGAUGCAUAGCCGACCUGAGAGGGUGAUCGGCCACACUGGAACUGAGACACGGUCCAGACUCCUACGGGAGGCAGCAGUAGGGAAUCUUCCGCAAUGGGCGAAAGCCUGACGGAGCAACGCCGCGUGAGUGAUGAAGGUCUUCGGAUCGUAAAACUCUGUUAUUAGGGAAGAACAUAUGUGUAAGUAACUGUGCACAUCUUGACGGUACCUAAUCAGAAAGCCACGGCUAACUACGUGCCAGCAGCCGCGGUAAUACGUAGGUGGCAAGCGUUAUCCGGAAUUAUUGGGCGUAAAGCGCGCGUAGGCGGUUUUUUAAGUCUGAUGUGAAAGCCCACGGCUCAACCGUGGAGGGUCAUUGGAAACUGGAAAACUUGAGUGCAGAAGAGGAAAGUGGAAUUCCAUGUGUAGCGGUGAAAUGCGCAGAGAUAUGGAGGAACACCAGUGGCGAAGGCGACUUUCUGGUCUGUAACUGACGCUGAUGUGCGAAAGCGUGGGGAUCAAACAGGAUUAGAUACCCUGGUAGUCCACGCCGUAAACGAUGAGUGCUAAGUGUUAGGGGGUUUCCGCCCCUUAGUGCUGCAGCUAACGCAUUAAGCACUCCGCCUGGGGAGUACGACCGCAAGGUUGAAACUCAAAGGAAUUGACGGGGACCCGCACAAGCGGUGGAGCAUGUGGUUUAAUUCGAAGCAACGCGAAGAACCUUA